UGGGCAACCUGCCCCUCUCUCUGGGAUAACCCCGGGAAACCGGAGCUAAUACCGGAUACUCCGGCUGGAUCGCAUGGUCCGGCCGGGAAAGGUCCGCCGGAGAGGGAUGGGCCCGCGGCCUAUCAGCUUGUUGGUGGGGUAACGGCCUACCAAGGCGACGACGGGUAGCUGGUCUGAGAGGACGACCAGCCACACUGGAACUGAGAUACGGUCCAGACUCCUACGGGAGGCA
RNAcentral lists this ribosomal RNA (232 nucleotides) under uncultured bacterium. RNAcentral's name for it is "partial 16S ribosomal RNA". It matches the Rfam family "Bacterial small subunit ribosomal RNA", at positions 118 to 350 of the family's 1533-position model. The record is from RNAcentral.